AUACCUACCUGGCGUCGAGAUACCGUGGUCAUGCAAGCGGUUUCCCCAAGGUGCGGCUGCUCCAUUGCACUGCGGAGUGGUUGACCCUUGCGAUUAUUUGUAUACCUAGUCAGGUCAUAAAUUCUGUCACAUGUUUAAUGUAAAAUAAUUGAAACAAGUUUAUUCAUUAU
Molecule: small nuclear RNA, 170 nt
Organism: Bombyx mandarina (wild silkworm)
Lineage: Eukaryota; Metazoa; Arthropoda; Insecta; Lepidoptera; Bombycidae
Source: RefSeq, a predicted model, not a curated record